AAUCAAAGAAGGUAAUAAUCCUGUAGUCGAAAACAUAUUCUCUCUUGAGUGGAUCCUGAGUACGACGGAGCACGUGAAAUUCCGUCGGAAUCUGGGAGGACCAUCUCCUAAGGCUAAAUACUCUCUAGUGACCGAUAGUGAACCAGUACCGUGAGGGAAAGGUGAAAAGUACCCCGGAAGGGGAGUGAAAGAGAACUUGAAACCGUGUGCUUACAAGUAGUCAGAGCCCGUUAAUGGGUGAUGGCGUGCCUUUU
RNAcentral lists this ribosomal RNA (254 nucleotides) under Staphylococcus epidermidis WI05. RNAcentral's name for it is "partial 23S ribosomal RNA". It matches the Rfam family "Bacterial large subunit ribosomal RNA", at positions 353 to 609 of the family's 2925-position model. RNAcentral also lists the same sequence under 1 other name. Lineage: Bacteria; Bacillati; Bacillota; Bacilli; Caryophanales; Staphylococcaceae. The record is from RNAcentral.